Molecule: ribosomal RNA, 484 nt
Filed under: uncultured bacterium
Lineage: Bacteria
Description: partial 16S ribosomal RNA
Rfam family: Bacterial small subunit ribosomal RNA
Source: RNAcentral
AUUGAACGCUGGCGGCAGGCCUAACACAUGCAAGUCGAGCGGAUGAAGGGAGCUUGCUCCUGGAUUCAGCGGCGGACGGGUGAGUAAUGCCUAGGAAUCUGCCUGGUAGUGGGGGAUAACGUCCGGAAACGGGCGCUAAUACCGCAUACGUCCUGAGGGAGAAAGUGGGGGAUCUUCGGACCUCACGCUAUCAGAUGAGCCUAGGUCGGAUUAGCUAGUUGGUGGGGUAAAGGCCUACCAAGGCGACGAUCCGUAACUGGUCUGAGAGGAUGAUCAGUCACACUGGAACUGGGACACGGUCCCGACUCCUACGGGAGGCAGGAGGGGGGAAUAUUGGACAAUGGGCGAAAGCCUGAUCCAGCCAUGCCGCGUGUGUGAAGAAGGUCUUCGGAUUGUAAAGCACUUUAAGUUGGGAGGAAGGGCAGUAAGUUAAUACCUUGCUGUUUUGACGUUACCAACAGAAUAAGCACCGGCUAACUUCGUG